Molecule: unclassified non-coding RNA, 346 nt
Filed under: Hevea brasiliensis (rubber tree)
Lineage: Eukaryota; Viridiplantae; Streptophyta; Magnoliopsida; Malpighiales; Euphorbiaceae
Source: RNAcentral
UCCCCACUAUUGAAAGCUUAUAUGAAGAUGAGGGGUUUGAACAGAGACACCUUGCCGCAUUGGUUCUUUCAAAGGAAUUCUACUACCUUGGUGAUCUUAAUGACUCACUAUCGUAUGCACUUGGUGCUGGGCCCCUGUUUGAUGUUACUGAAGACAAUGAUUAUGCUCUUACCCUACUUGCUAAAGCCCUAGAUGAAUACGCAAGUUUCAGGAGCAAAGCUGCCAAACCUAGUGAAGAUGAAGCUAAGAUGGAUCCCAGAUUGGAGGCGAUAGUGGAAAGAAUGCUAGACAAAUGUAUCUCGGAUGGAAGAUUCCAGCAAGCGAUCGGUAUGGCUGUUGAGUGUAG